UGGGGAAUAUUGCACAAUGGAGGGAACUCUGAUGCAGCGACGCCGCGUGAACGAAGAAGGCUUUCGAGUUGUAAAGUUCUUUUAUAUGGGAAGAUAAUGACGGUACCAUAAGAAGAAGCCCCGGCUAACUACGUGCCAGCAGCCGCGGUAAUACGUAGGGGGCUAGCGUUAUCCGGAAUCACUGGGCGUAAAGGGUUCGCAGGCGGAAAUGCAAGUCAGGUGUAAAAGGCAGUAGCUUAACUACUGUAAGCAUUUGAAACUGCAUAUCUUGAGAAGAGUAGAGGUAAGUGGAAUUUUUAGUGUAGCGGUGAAAUGCGUAGAUAUUAAAAAGAAUACCGGUGGCGAGGGCGACUUACUGGGCUCAUUCUGACGCUGAGGAACGAAAGCGUGGGUAGCGAACAGG
This 403-nucleotide ribosomal RNA is filed under the name bacterium. RNAcentral's name for it is "partial 16S ribosomal RNA". It matches the Rfam family "Bacterial small subunit ribosomal RNA", at positions 355 to 776 of the family's 1533-position model. The record is from RNAcentral.